RNAcentral lists this long non-coding RNA (317 nucleotides) under Chloebia gouldiae (Gouldian finch). RNAcentral's name for it is "Erythrura gouldiae (Gouldian finch) lncRNA (ENSEGOG00005007087.1)". Lineage: Eukaryota; Metazoa; Chordata; Aves; Passeriformes; Passeridae. The record is from RNAcentral.
GAAGGCAGAAGGCUCUGGAGGAAUUAGUGCUAAAUGGAAUGAAGAUCAAGUGGCCUAAAUGUGGUCCAGGCCAAAUUGUGAAGGACCUGCUACUUACCAAGAGGAGAAAAACAGCAUAAGAGCACUGGUUAAUGGGUGUGCUUUGGAUUCACACUGGAUCCUGGGAGCAGAAUUGUUCCCUGUGGAUGUACAAGUAUCAUGGUAACUCUCCUCAGAGUUUUAGUUGAAGAAGCAUAUCAGUGACUCCUGGAUGAGUGUCCCCUGAAUCUGCUGUUCAGCAGAAUCCCAGUUUCAAAGUGCAGAGGGUACAAAACUCA